RNAcentral lists this ribosomal RNA (871 nucleotides) under Calcaridorylaimus heynsi. Its description in RNAcentral is "SSU rRNA". It matches the Rfam family "Eukaryotic small subunit ribosomal RNA", at positions 80 to 951 of the family's 1831-position model. The record is from RNAcentral. Lineage: Eukaryota; Metazoa; Nematoda; Enoplea; Dorylaimida; Dorylaimidae.
CGGUGAGCCGCGAAUAGCUCAUUACAACAGCCACCGUUUACUAGAAUAUAGUUAUCCUACUUGGAUAACUGUGGCAAUUCUAGAGCUAAUACAUGCAAAAAAGCUCUGCCCGCAAGGAACGAGCGCAUUUAUUAGAAUAAAAACCAAUCGGGUUUCGGCCCGUAAUUUGGUGAAUCUGAAUAACUUUGCCAAUCGCACAGUCCUAGUACUGGCGAUGUAUCUUUCAAGUGUCUGCCUUAUCAACUUUCGAUGGUAGGUUAUACGCCUACCAUGGUAGUAACGGGUAACGGAGAAUAAGGGUUCGACUCCGGAGAGGGAGCCUGAGAAACGGCUACCACAUCCAAGGAAGGCAGCAGGCGCGCAAAUUACCCACUUCCAGAACGGAGAGGUAGUGACGAAAAAUAACGAGACAGUCCUCUUCGAGGUCUGUCAUCGGAAUGGGUACAAUUUAAAUCCUUUAACGAGGAUCUAUUGGAGGGCAAGUCUGGUGCCAGCAGCCGCGGUAAUUCCAGCUCCAAUAGCGUAUAUUAAAGUUGUUGCGGUUAAAACGCUCGUAGUUGGAUUUGCGGCCUCGGAGAACGGUCCCCCGAAAGGGCGGUCACUGUCUCUCCUAGCCUAAAUUCGAGUCGUCUCUAAGUGCUCUUUACCGGGUGCUUAGAGUGACUAGAACGUUUACUUUGAAAAAAUUAGAGUGCUUAAAGCAGGCGAAAUAGCCUGAAUAAGGUGCAUGGAAUAAUGGAAUAGGACCUCGGUUCUAUUUUGUUGGUUUUCGGAACCCGAGGUAAUGAUUAAGAGGAACAGACGGGGGCAUUCGUAUUCCGGCGCUAGAGGUGAAAUUCUUGGACCGCCGGAAGACGGACAACUGCGAAGA